CAGUCGCCGCGGGAAUACGGAGGAUCCAAGCGUUAUCCGGAAUCAUUGGGUUUAAAGGGUCCGUAGGCGGUCUUGUAAGUCAGUGGUGAAAGCCCAUCGCUCAACGGUGGAACGGCCAUUGAUACUGCAGGACUUGAAUUAUUGGGAAGUAACUAGAAUAUGUAGUGUAGCGGUGAAAUGCUUAGAGAUUACAUGGAAUACCAAUUGCGAAGGCAGGUUACUACCAAUUGAUUGACGCUGAUGGACGAAAGCGUGGGUAGCGAACAGGAUUAGAUACCCCUGUAGUCCCUGUCUCUUAUAC
This 301-nucleotide ribosomal RNA is filed under the name uncultured bacterium. RNAcentral's name for it is "partial 16S ribosomal RNA". It matches the Rfam family "Bacterial small subunit ribosomal RNA", at positions 509 to 807 of the family's 1533-position model. The record is from RNAcentral.